This is a long non-coding RNA of Hydractinia symbiolongicarpus, 890 nucleotides long. RefSeq lists it as uncharacterized. Lineage: Eukaryota; Metazoa; Cnidaria; Hydrozoa; Anthoathecata; Hydractiniidae. The transcript is spliced from 3 exons. The record is from RefSeq and is a predicted model, not a curated record.
AUGAAAUACAUUACGAUUCGCAUAAGCAAACUUAGAUAAAAAAAAAUGCAGUUUUUUUUUAAUUAAACGCUCAAGUGUUUCUAAACAGCACACUAUUCAAAAUGGUAGAUCAAAGAUGGCAGCUAUAUAGAAUUUUGAAGUGUUUGCGUUUGUAGGCAUCAUUCAAAAGAAAAUGAAGAAUAUUAAAUUCUGCUUUUUAUUAGCAAAGAAAAAGAGAAACAGGUUUACGAAUGUUACAAAUAAACUUGGUAUUUAUUUUUACCACAAAUUCUUCGCCAUUGAAGAAUGUUAAUCAUUUUAAAACAAGAGUUUAGUAGCUGUUUCCUGCUUCCCAAGGGUAGAUGCAUUAAAAAAGAAUUGACAACAGACUGCGUGUUUCGUAUGAUUCGAAGUCGCUAUCAUUCGAAGCCAGAAAGCUUUAAAAAAAUUGUCAAUAAGUGUGUCAAUAAGUGUGUUUUUGUCUAGCAGAAUUGUGAUAGAUACGAAAAUAACAAGUCUGCUGUAAAUACGGCGGCUUAUCCCUUCUGUAUUAACGAUUUGUAAUUUGUAUUGAAUCUUAUAGCAACAAGUUGUUUAGCUGUGAUGACAUUGACGCUCUUUUAACAUUUUGUCACUUCGGAUUUUUACAUCAAUUUUAAAUCAUAAAAAACUACGUUAUAACAAACCUUGUUGGUUGAAUAUUUUUACCUCAAGAAUCUCUGUGCAUUUAUGCUCAUGUGUACCUUUCAACCAUCACUGAAUGGAGUACUUCACGGUAAUGAGUACACAAAGUUUUUAUAUCGCCUCUCUCCUUCACAGUUAACUUGUUACAUUUAUGAUACAUUUCUUGUUAAACACUCUCCUUCGCUGUGUCUAUUAUGAUUAAAAGUGAAUAAAUACUCACCAGUGGC